This 575-nucleotide long non-coding RNA is filed under the name Lathyrus oleraceus (garden pea). RNAcentral describes it as "Pisum sativum (pea) long non-coding RNA (PSAT_LNC041536)". The record is from RNAcentral. Lineage: Eukaryota; Viridiplantae; Streptophyta; Magnoliopsida; Fabales; Fabaceae.
GCUUGAGUUGGAAACAGGUCUUGGGGAUUUAGGUUCAUGGUAAGUUAACACACUUCAUGACCUGAUAUUUGUGAUGUCUCUGCUAUUAGUUACAGGCCUGAACUCAUCUUGCAAUGGUGUCCUGAGUUUGUUGCUGUCUUGUCCAGUAGGUUUUGCCUUGUGCAUCAUGGCUUCAACUUGCUUCACCAUUUGGCUAGUUUUAGUUGUGAGUCUUCUUUUCUGCAGGAUUUAUACAUUUAUAACAUGCUGCCAACUGGUUUCUUUUUGCAGGUUUGGUUAUUGUUUGAAUAAUUGUUUGUCUUGCAGGUCACAGGUUGUAACUUUGGUGAAAUUCGUUGGAUGGUUGGAAGUUCCGUGUGGUGAUGUUGGUUUGUUGCAAGUUGUGUGCCUUGAUGCACUGCUUUCUGCAGAAUUUAUUUGGUUUAUGGCAUGGGGUUUCACAGGUAAAGGCAAUCAUAGCCAGAGUGGUACAUGCAGACACAACAAUAACAAAGGGAGCCAUAGAGAAACUGCUUCCCAACUUCAAAGAUAUUUCUUUGGAAAAUUGUUUCCUCUCAACAAAACAGCAAACCAGC